CAGAAAGUAGUUUACAUUAUAAAUAAUAACUUUGGAAGUUAUAGACCCGGGAACAUCCCGCUAUCUGA
RNAcentral lists this transfer RNA (68 nucleotides) under Sipunculus nudus (marine worm). RNAcentral's name for it is "tRNA-Pro". The record is from RNAcentral. Lineage: Eukaryota; Metazoa; Annelida; Sipuncula; Golfingiida; Sipunculidae.